UACGUAGGGGGCAAGCGUUAUCCGGAUUUACUGGGUGUAAAGGGAGCGUAGACGGUUAAGUAAGUCUGGAGUGAAAGGCCGGGGCCCAAACCCGGGACUGCUCUGGAAACUAUUGAACUUGAGUGCAGGAGAGGUAAGCGGAAUUCCUAGUGUAGCGGUGAAAUGCGUAGAUAUACGGAGGAACACCAGUGGCGAAGGCGGCCUGCUGGACAUUAACUGACGCUGAGGCGCGAAAGCGUGGGGAGCAAACAGG
This 253-nucleotide ribosomal RNA is filed under the name uncultured Eubacteriales bacterium. RNAcentral's name for it is "uncultured Clostridiales bacterium partial 16S ribosomal RNA". It matches the Rfam family "Bacterial small subunit ribosomal RNA", at positions 524 to 776 of the family's 1533-position model. The record is from RNAcentral. Lineage: Bacteria; Bacillati; Bacillota; Clostridia; Eubacteriales.